This 74-nucleotide transfer RNA is filed under the name Planctomycetota bacterium. Its description in RNAcentral is "tRNA-Met". It matches the Rfam family "tRNA". Rfam says of the family: Transfer RNA (tRNA) molecules are approximately 80 nucleotides in length. Their secondary structure includes four short double-helical elements and three loops (D, anti-codon, and T loops). RNAcentral also lists the same sequence under 1 other name. Lineage: Bacteria; Pseudomonadati; Planctomycetota. The record is from RNAcentral.
GGCGGCGUAGCUCAGCUGGUUAGAGCGUGGGCUUCAUAAUCCCGAGGUCGCAGGUUCGAGUCCUGCCGCCGCUA